AACGAACGCUGGCGGCAUGCCUAACACAUGCAAGUCGAACGAUCCCUUCGGGGAUAGUGGCGCACGGGUGCGUAACGCGUGGGAACCUGCCCUUAGGUUCGGAAUAACUCAGAGAAAUUUGAGCUAAUACCGGAUAAUGUCUUCGGACCAAAGAUUUAUCGCCUUUGGAUGGGCCCGCGUUGGAUUAGCUAGUUGGUGGGGUAAAGGCCUACCAAGGCGACGAUCCAUAGCUGGUCUGAGAGGAUGAUCAGCCACACUGGGACUGAGACACGGCCCAGACUCCUACGGGAGGCAGCAGUGGGGAAUAUUAGACAAUGGGCGAAGGCCUGAUCCAGCAAUGCCGCGUGAGUGAUGAAGGCCUUAGGGUUGUAAAGCUCUUUUACCCGGGAUGAUAAUGACAGUACCGGGAGAAUAAGCCCCGGCUAACUCCGUG
Molecule: ribosomal RNA, 433 nt
Filed under: uncultured bacterium
Lineage: Bacteria
Description: partial 16S ribosomal RNA
Rfam family: Bacterial small subunit ribosomal RNA
Source: RNAcentral